UAUCAUUUAGAGGAAGGAGAAGUCGUA
RNAcentral lists this ribosomal RNA (27 nucleotides) under Peyritschia deyeuxioides. RNAcentral describes it as "partial 18S ribosomal RNA". The record is from RNAcentral. Lineage: Eukaryota; Viridiplantae; Streptophyta; Magnoliopsida; Poales; Poaceae.